UACAGAGGGUGCAAGCGUUAAUCGGAUUUACUGGGCGUAAAGGGCGCGUAGGUGGUUGCGUAAGUGAGAUGUGAAAUCCCCGGGCUUAACCUGGGACGUGCAUCUUAGACUGCGUAACUGGAGUGUUGUAGAGGGUAGUGGAAUUUCCGGUGUAGCGGUGAAAUGCGUAGAUAUCGGAAGGAACACCAGUGGCGAAGGCGGCUACCUGGACAAACACUGACACUGAGGCGCGAGAGCGUGGGGAGCAAACAGG
This 253-nucleotide ribosomal RNA is filed under the name uncultured bacterium. RNAcentral's name for it is "partial 16S ribosomal RNA". It matches the Rfam family "Bacterial small subunit ribosomal RNA", at positions 524 to 776 of the family's 1533-position model. The record is from RNAcentral.